Acanthopagrus latus (yellowfin seabream) is the source of this 1793-nucleotide long non-coding RNA. RefSeq lists it as uncharacterized. The record is from RefSeq and is a predicted model, not a curated record. Lineage: Eukaryota; Metazoa; Chordata; Actinopteri; Spariformes; Sparidae. The transcript is spliced from 6 exons.
GCUCUUUGACACACGACCAAUAAACCCGAGGCACCUGCAGGUUAAAAAAUUCUCAUGGUCACACCUACGGGUUGAAUCAAUGCAAGAAUACAGUUCAAACCUGUUUGGCCUUCUAAGCCGCCUCCUACAAUGAACUCCAUGUACCGUCAUGCCUCGCGCGCCUACGUCGUGCCGAGGGCUGCAUGUGCUCCGCCGCUCUGCUCCAACUAUGGCUCAGUGCGGCUCCGGCUCUUCACGGGAGUGCAUCGUACGAGCGGCGGAGAGCCCUCAGCGGAGCUCCUGCAGGGAGCCCAUCACUGCAGCGGGACGGGAGCGGACCGGACCGGACCGUGAGGAGGAACCACCUUGUUUUUACCCCUUGUUGGACGUAACCACGCUGAUCGAUCUGCUCGUGUUGGCCUGAACGCCAAUCGUUUUUGUUUUGUUUUGUUUUUUUUGUUUUUUUUUACGCACGGAUUCUUUGGACGCGUGAAGCGGAUUAAAUUGCUGCCGUGGCGGCACUGACACACGUGGAGAUAUCAUGAUUAUUUAUUAUUUAUUAUUGCUGAUAAAAGUGUGACGAUGGCAGCGGCUGAUGGAUUCAGCAGUCCAGCUGCGACCCGUCCCGUUGGAUAUAAGGAAACACUGUCCCUCACACGGGAUGAGUGGUGUCCAUUACUCUGCCGGACACGCCGUUUGGCGGACAGACGAGUCUCUUGGGAUCCUUAACGCGUGUGAGCCGGUGUCACAGACAGCCGGUGUGCAAUGGUACGGAUUUUUGUUUGAUUUUUAUGGGGGGAAAAAAUCGCCUGGUGGAUUUUGGCACAAAGAAAAGGGAAUAUCCUGGAUUAUAUUCUGAGAGCGAUGCUCGGCAGAUGUUCCUGGGCGAUAAUGACAGCACGCGUCUCUUCACCCGGCAGUGAAGGAAUCCAAAUUCUCGGACUGAGAUGUCAGCCUUCAAUCGCUUCCCAGGGAGCUUCUGAUGAUCUCAGGUGAGCAGUGAGAAGAGGCUGACUAAUGGAAACAUGAUCUCAAGAGAUUCAACAGGAUCAGACUAAAUCCCGGUUUGGACCGUGGACCAGCAUCCCCUGCAGCAGAUGUUCGCUCCUGGCAUGGCUACGAACAGCAUGAGCUCCAUCGCUGACAAUCUCGCUCUCAGGAUCCAAUGCCGCCAGCAGCUUGGACUUGGAGAAAGCUGUGACGUAAACUCAGCAGGACAGUGGAGUGUACCCUGCUGCUCAGACAUUAUGGAACAGUUCGGCCAGGCCUGUUUGGAGAGCUGCUCUAUAGGAAAGUCAGCUCGAUCCACCGGAGUCGGCCACAGUGGAUCUACUUAAAGUUCACUUUUUUUUUCUUUUUUUUUCCCCAAGUUGAACCUGGAUCAAUAUUGGUGUACAUCUGUUUUUGAUAUUCAGCAUUUAUUGAUGCUGUUGCUCAUACACACUGCAGUUCUGACAUCUGAGUGAUUACAUAAAAGCCAUUUAUUUUGGGUCCCAAUAAAUCAUUAUUGUCUCCAAUGUCUGACGGCAAUAAUUCAAGUGUACUUGUUAGCCUGAGAUAAAAUAUAUUCAUUAUCAAUUUUGUAUUUUUUAGAAUUUAGUAUUCCAUGAACUUAGUCUUUUUGUUUUCGGGAUCAUGACUGCCUCCCUCUUCAUGAGAAAUAUUUUAAUAACAUUUCUGUGGAAUUUAAGAGGUGACAUUGAAAUGCCGUUGAUUUUGAUCUUCUUUGAGACCAAAACCUUCAAAACCUUCUCUGUCAAGUGUUUCAUAUCCACCGUGUCAUGCAAAAAUCUUGAAUGAAUAAAUUCUAUAAA